Long non-coding RNA from Myripristis murdjan (pinecone soldierfish), 333 nucleotides. RefSeq lists it as uncharacterized. The transcript has 3 exons. NCBI's taxonomy places the organism in Eukaryota, Metazoa, Chordata, Actinopteri, Holocentriformes, Holocentridae. The record is from RefSeq and is a predicted model, not a curated record.
AAAAAACCCAAACAAAACAAAAAAAAACUUACAGGAGGCUCGUGAGGACGGGGUUACUGGCCAUGGAUUUAAAAUAAUCCACAGAUGGGGCAGCUUGGCUCAAGAGGUCUCCUCGAACAAGAAGCCCUCUCAGGGUCUCGUGAUCCCGUCCCAGCAGAUACAGUUGAGGGCUUUGGCACGGCAGCAGGCCAGCACAAAGGAACAGUGCCGGCGUUCUACUGACCUGCUCCGGACACGAUGAAGAGGUGUAGGAGCAGCAGAGCCCUGACCCUGCGCCGUCCACACGAGUCCAGGACAGCGUCCAUGCCGGGACGUCCAGUCCGAAUGAUCCGG